RNAcentral lists this ribosomal RNA (497 nucleotides) under uncultured bacterium. Its description in RNAcentral is "partial 16S ribosomal RNA". It matches the Rfam family "Bacterial small subunit ribosomal RNA", at positions 28 to 507 of the family's 1533-position model. The record is from RNAcentral.
GAUGAACGCUGGCGGCGUGCCUAAUACAUGCAAGUCGAGCGAACAGAUGAGGAGCUUGCUCUUCUGACGUUAGCGGCGGACGGGUGAGUAACAUGUGGAUAACCUACCUAUAAGACUGGGAUAACUUAGGGAAACCGGAGCUAAUACCGGAUAAUAUAUUGAACCGCAUGGUUCAAUAGUGAAAGACGGUUUUGCUGUCACUUAUAGAUGGAUCCGCGCCGCAUUAGCUAGUUGGUAAGGUAACGGCUUACCAAGGCAACGAUGCGUAGCCGACCUGAGAGGGUGAUCGGCCACACUGGAACUGAGACACGGUCCAGACUCCUACGGGAGGCAGCAGUAGGGAAUCUUCCGCAAUGGGCGAAAGCCUGACGGAGCAACGCCGCGUGAGUGAUGAAGGUCUUCGGAUCGUAAAACUCUGUUAUUAGGGAAGAACAAAUGUGUAAGUAACUAUGCACGUCUUGACGGUACCUAAUCAGAAAGCCACGGCUAACUACGUG